UUGAUGAGUUCAGCUGAUGCU
Molecule: non-coding RNA, 21 nt
Filed under: Arabidopsis thaliana (thale cress)
Lineage: Eukaryota; Viridiplantae; Streptophyta; Magnoliopsida; Brassicales; Brassicaceae
Source: RNAcentral